Molecule: unclassified non-coding RNA, 1496 nt
Filed under: Leishmania donovani
Lineage: Eukaryota; Euglenozoa; Kinetoplastea; Trypanosomatida; Trypanosomatidae
Description: gene:LdHU3.34.0790(CDS-product:Amastin_surface_gl ycoprotein_putative)
Source: RNAcentral
ACAUCCCCUUGCGCAGCCCCCGACUGGCUUCCGCUCUCGCCUCUCUCCUCGUCAGAUCUCUUGCGCAGUCUUGGCCAUCCUGCCGUUCUUUUUCCCGUCGACCUUUCCGUUGGCCUUGUCGGCUGUCACUGUUGCGGGUUCGCAAUGCCAUUCAGGAUCAACACGGUCCUCUACGCCAUCCUUCAGUUCAUCGCGUUCCUCUUGGUGCUGGUGGCUACGCCGAUCGACAUGUUCCGCCAGUAUCCCAUAAUAAUAUCGAAGGCAGCGUGUCUGACGUUGUGGGGGUCGAAGAGGACUUGCUCUGGACUGGGGUACGAUAUCGACGUGACGAGCUAUUGGGUGUUAUGCCCGAAGUCUCGGAAACGGUGGCGUAGAGCAGAGUUAUUUGCCAUCCUCUCCAUAUUCGUGUACGGCACGGCGUUUAUUUUCGGCUGCGUUAAGGUCUACGUAUGUGGUUUCCUCCGCUGGGUCUGCCUGGCGCUCAACGUUGCCGGCAUCGCCACACUGUGCGUUGUCUGGGGACUUGUAGUCUUCGUCUACCAUGUGCCUGAGAACAUAAAUUGUAUAAGCCUAAAGGAUUUCAAUUACCAUUUCGGAGCCGGCUUGAUUCUCUUCCUGGUGGCCUGGUGUCUGAACAUCAUCAACAUCGUCUUUUUGCUGCUCCCCUGCGAUGCCAGCGUUUCCAUCGAGCCCUCAAAUCACGAGCUUUCUAUGGGGCGAACACAGGCGGCUGUGAAGUGAAGUGAAGGAAGCGGCCGGCGAGCCUGACAGCAGCGCGGCACACACACCGUGACGCCCUCGUGGAGGAGCCGGCGGAGCUGAUCGCAGCGAGAGAGAGGGAGCGGAUGCCGCUGACCCUCGCCGGCCCACCUCUCUCGCUGCCUUCUCGUGCGUGCGUGUGCGCUUCCUCUGGGGUCGUUCUCCCCCUCCCUCCAAAUGCCGGUGCCGUGCACGGCGACCUGCGCUGUGUGGUGAGCAACGCGCGCCUGGCGCCGACAAGCCCAUCCAUGCCCCGUCCCCCCUCUGAGCCCCUCGCCUUGGCUGCCGUGUCGGAGCCACGCCCCCCCCCACUCACGCUCGCCCGGCGCACCGCCGCCGAGGCGGGGAGCGAAGGAAGACGCGGGACGCCGGCGCGUGCGCUGCCGCUCCCCCUCCCCUCACGCACGCCUCACGCGCUACCUGAGCGGCGAAGGGCGAGGAUGGGGAGGGGGAGUGGAGGGCGAGGUGCCACAGGAGAGGGAGUGGCGGGGAGGUGUGGGAAUGAGGCGGGCUGGUGGGCAGGCGCGUCGGGGCAGGGAGAGGACGGCGUCUGUGCGCACGCGCACCCACGCGCGCCGGUGCACAAGAGGGCACCUCCCACACGGCGUGUGCAUGCGCGCAGGCACAUGCGCCCCCGUCACCCUCCUCCUCCUUUCUCCGUGGAUCCCCCGCCACCUCGCCCUUCUUCUGUCGCUGCCACUCCCCCACGCCCCUGGCGGCACACCCGCGACGGGAAG